RNAcentral lists this long non-coding RNA (2034 nucleotides) under Bemisia tabaci. RNAcentral describes it as "lncRNA ENSSSA3NGG000508". The record is from RNAcentral. Lineage: Eukaryota; Metazoa; Arthropoda; Insecta; Hemiptera; Aleyrodidae.
AUGGUCGACAGAAGCUCGGGUGCUCUGUGUAUAACGACACAAGGGCAAAAUAUGCAGGCCUUCUUGGAUGACGAGAGGGCUAUUGCACAUGCAGCUACUGAGUGUCUGACCUUAGCAACCAGAGGGAGAGUCCGUGAAAAAAUGGCGCCCUAUGGGGCAAGGUCGAGAAGUGAGUCCCGCCGCGAGACCAGUGCGGAAAUUGACCAGGCCAUCGGUUUGGACGAGUCCCGACAACAGAGAAGAAGCAGAGGUCAGCCAUUUUUUCUCGUGCCGGGUUUGAGGUUUGCGACAUGGUGUUGCUGCGUUUCCGGAGCCAGCGAAUUGUUCAGUGCUCUGUGUUUUUAAAUUAUUAUUUACCUUUACCAUGACUUCCUCGAAGUAGGGUAAUGAAUCUGCGGUGGAGGAGACGGUAAAUCUAGAGUUGAUGGAGGACGCUGAGGCUGAUGAACGUAUUAUUCUACCCUGGAAAUGAGAGCAAUGUUAGUUGAGGCGAGGUCAUACCUGUACAACAGGGCGGACAAGGAUUUCAAAGAUGCCCGUUUGAAAUCCAACGCAUGGGACGAAAUUGCUAAGGAAUGUGGUCUAGCAAAUAAGUAUCCUUCCAUAUGUUGAGCUAUCUUGGAUGGUGGAGGAGACAGAUCUAUGUUGAGCUAUCCUGUAUGGUGGAGGAUACAGAUCUGUCAACUCUAGAUCUAGAGUUGAUGGGGGACGCUGAGGCUGAAGGGACGUUUUAUUCUACCCUGAAAAUGGUAGCAAUGUUGGUUGAGGCGAGGCCAUCAGCGAUAUUUCAUAGAUGUAGAAGAUAAUGUAGAUGUUGGAUUUUAUAUUCCAGAAGGAGGCCUCCUCGGAGAGUACCUCGAGGAAGAGGAGACGCCAGGUGAAGACGAAUUCGACGAAGUAUUCCUGGGAUUUGACGAGGAAGCCGCGGCUGGUGCAAAUCAACCAUAUCUGAACAACAAGGCUGACAAGGAUUUCAAAGAUGCCCGUUUGAAAUCCAUGUUAAGUUGGUACAUAAUCUAAUACCACCUCUAGUAUUAUUUCUCUCUCUUAUGUUGGUAACAUACAUGUGUACGUGCGCACCUCUCUCUUGUUGUUCGCCCUGUGUGCUUUAACCUUAUUAAAAAGUAAGAGCCUUCGAGCCAUGCCCUUAACUAAAUUUACUUUCGUUAUUUUCUCCAUCCUAAUCAUUCCCUGUGAAUAAAUCUGCAAUCCGACAAUCCAACGCGUGGGACGAAAUUGCUGGGGAAUGUGGUCUAGCAAGUAAGUACUCCUUCCAUACGUUGAACUAUCUUGUAUGGUGGAGGAGACAGAUCUAUGUUGAGCUAUCUUGUAGGGUGGAGGAGACAGAUCCACCAGCUCUAGAUCUGGAGUUGAUGGGGGACGCUAAGGCUGAAGGGACGUAUUAUUCUACCCUGAAAAUGAUAGCAAUGUUAGUUGAGGCGAGACCAGCCUGUACAACAAGGCUGACAAGGAUUUUAAAGAUGCCCGUUGAAAUCCAACGCAUGGGACGAAAUUGCUAAGGAAUGUGGUCUAGCAUGUAAGUACUCCUUCCAUAUGUUGAGCUAUCUUGUAUGUUAGGUCAUUCGAGAAGAAGAUCGUGUACCCGAGCGAAAGGUCCCUAUAUUUUUUUCAACAUCCGUCGGUAAGUGGGUGAAAAAGAAAUGUAAGGCAUUUGUGUGAGUUUUGAAACUAGAUGGUCAAGUCUGAUGUAUUGCCUCAAUUAUUAAGUAGAAAAUAUUUAUUAAGCAUAUUUAUUAAGCAGAAAAAUUUGAUUAUUUUUCAUGGCCUUCAUUCCUCAAUUUUCAGAUCGAACAAAGUUAGAGAUUCGGCGUGUCAAAUCAACGAGUUUCGGGUUCCGAUUGCCACAAAUUCCCGAGGAGCUGAAGCCAGUGAGUUGUGCAUCAUCAUCAUCAUCCUCAUUUUCAAAAGGGAAACAGCGCCAAUCGAAACAUAGAAAAAAUGUUGAUACAUUUCACAAAAUUAUAAGAAAAGCUAAAAAGAAAUUCGGUACUAAAACCAAUGCCCAGAACAUAU